Molecule: long non-coding RNA, 342 nt
Filed under: Elaeis guineensis (African oil palm)
Lineage: Eukaryota; Viridiplantae; Streptophyta; Magnoliopsida; Arecales; Arecaceae
Description: long non-coding RNA (EGUI_LNC024202)
Source: RNAcentral
GCGUCACGUUCUACCGACUCAAAGAGAGAUUUUCUACACCCACUUACAGGUAAAAUAAAUUAUAUUAUAAAUAUUUAAUUUAUAUGAUAUUUUUUUAAUAUUUAUUAUUGGCAGGGUGUAUUCGACAUCGUUGAUUUUGAGGAGGAUCGUGUGAGGCGAGUUAUCGACACUCAUCUAUCCUUAUGUUUCAAGGAUUAUCACCAUUACAUCCAUCAGCAUUGGUACCAGGUGGUGUAGGAUCAUGGGGAGGAGGUAGCGCGGCAGCAGCCCUAUGACAACAUCACCAUAGACGAUUGGACUGCCAUAUGCCGGCAAUACGAGGAUCCGAUAUAUCAGGUUACA